RNAcentral lists this unclassified non-coding RNA (342 nucleotides) under soil metagenome. Its description in RNAcentral is "partial contains 5.8S ribosomal RNA, internal transcribed spacer 2, and large subunit ribosomal RNA". The stretch from base 1 to 120 matches the Rfam family "5.8S ribosomal RNA", at positions 35 to 154 of the family's 154-position model. The record is from RNAcentral.
GAUGAAGAACGCAGCGAAACGCGAUAAGUAAUGUGAAUUGCAGAAUCCAGUGAAUCAUCGAAUCUUUGAACGCACAUUGCGCCCGCCAGCAUUCUGGCGGGCAUGCCUGUUCGAGCGUCAUUUCAACCCUCGACCUCCCCUUGGGGAGGUCGGCGUUGGGGACCGGCAGCACACCGCCGGCCCUGAAAUGGAGUGGCGGCCCGUCCGCGGCGACCUCUGCGCAGUAAUACAGCUCGCACCGGGACCCCGACGCGGCCACGCCGUAAAACACCCAACUUCUGAACGUUGACCUCGAAUCAGGUAGGACUACCCGCUGAACUUAAGCAUAUCAAUAAGCGGGGA